CCCGAUAGACAAACCACGGCUCAUGGACAUUCAGCACAGUACGUAAACAGAGGAUUAAAUGUAAUUUAUCAUAGCCAAGCCUCAGCGCAUGGACUUUCAGCCCAGAACGUAAACAGAGGAUUAUAUGAAUAUCCUUAUAGCGAAAUUACAGCGUAUGGACUCCCAGCCCAGAACGUAAACAGAGGAUUAAAUGAAUAUCCAUAUAGCGAAAUUACGGCGCAAGGAUUUUCAGUGAAGAACGUAAACAGACCAUCAAAUGAAAAUUAUAAUAGUCAAGAUAUGACGACGCAUGAACCAUCAGACCUACCAAAGAACGAUAAUAAGAUUACAUCUCCUUAUGACGAACUAGAAAACCACGUUCAACCGAUAACGGAAGAAGACUCUGACGACGAGGACAAAGACGGACACCAGUUUACGGACGCUAUUGAAAGCGUUUAAAAAAAAAAAAAAAUGGCUGUGGAUUUAUAUGCUCCUGGAUGAAAAUAACACAAAACAGCACACCAAUAACUGAACAGUGUCCCCAGUCAAUGACGUGUGGUGUAGUCUCACACGUAACGAUUAGAAUUUAUCGUGUUAAUGUGUUAUUGAAAAGAUCAUGUCACGUAUAUUCUGUUUGUUGCUAUGAUAUUUUAUAUCAGAGUGUAACGUUUCUACCAUGUUUUAUUUCACAUCUUUACAUACCCCCCAGUCUGUCAACCAAUGAUGUAUAAAAACAGUUCCACAAGCGCCUUAACAAUUGGCAUAAAACACGUCAGGCUGCAUUUGACCCAAAGUUGUUACAGGAAUUUAAACGGUCUCGUUUUAAAGUCAGUUUUUCGUAAAUUCUAUGGUCGUUAUAACGAUCUUGUUUGCCAAUACAGGCUCUGGUUAUCCAGUGUUUGCCAAGCUCUCUAAUUGUAUUCCUUGUAGGAGUUAUGAGAUUGAUCACUGUUCCUUAUCUCCACCUUGUCAUGACAGAUAUACAUACAUUAUUUAUAUGAAUAACCAAUUUAUGCUUAUACAUUAUGUAUGUGUUUAUCGCGGUUGAGUUUCCUUUUACGAUAAUUCCAUGUGUUUGAUGCAUGUGCAUCCAGUGCUCGGUAUUUCUCCUCAAAGAUGCACACUUACAUUUUCAAACUUUUAAGGCAAUAUCUGCAUCGUUGGAAACUAUUCGUCUGACCCCAUGCGAUAUGUUCCAUAUCUACCAUUUGUUAUGCACACUUAUGCAUUGAUACAAUAUUUAUUUUGUAGACUUUUCCCUUUCAUUCAUGACUUUAUUUGCCUUGAGACUAUUUUUUUCAUUUUAUGCCAUUUAUAAUUUUUAUGCUUACGUU
Ostrea edulis (European flat oyster) is the source of this 1313-nucleotide long non-coding RNA. RefSeq lists it as uncharacterized. NCBI's taxonomy places the organism in Eukaryota, Metazoa, Mollusca, Bivalvia, Ostreida, Ostreidae. The transcript has 11 exons. The record is from RefSeq and is a predicted model, not a curated record.